Molecule: ribosomal RNA, 547 nt
Filed under: uncultured bacterium
Lineage: Bacteria
Description: bacterial SSU rRNA
Rfam family: Bacterial small subunit ribosomal RNA
Source: RNAcentral
UGGGGAAUAUUGCGCAAUGGGGGCAACCCUGACGCAGCCAUGCCGCGUGAAUGAAGAAGGCCUUCGGGUUGUAAAGUUCUUUCGGUAGCGAGGAAGGCAUUUAGUUUAAUAAACUGGAUGAUUGACGUUAACUACAGAAGAAGCACCGGCUAACUCCGUGCCAGCAGCCGCGGUAAUACGGAGGGUGCGAGCGUUAAUCGGAAUAACUGGGCGUAAAGGGCACGCAGGCGGUGACUUAAGUGAGGUGUGAAAGCCCCGGGCUUAACCUGGGAAUUGCAUUUCAUACUGGGUCGCUAGAGUACUUUAGGGAGGGGUAGAAUUCCACGUGUAGCGGUGAAAUGCGUAGAGAUGUGGAGGAAUACCGAAGGCGAAGGCAGCCCCUUGGGAAUGUACUGACGCUCAUGUGCGAAAGCGUGGGGAGCAAACAGGAUUAGAUACCCUGGUAGUCCACGCUGUAAACGAUGUCGAUUUGGGGGUUGAGCUUUAAGUUUGGCGCCCGUAGCUAACGUGAUAAAUCGACCGCCUGGGGAGUACGGCCGCAAGGUUA